GAUGAACGCUGGCGGCGUGCCUAAUACAUGCAAGUCGAGCGAACAGAUAAGGAGCUUGCUCCUUUGACGUUAGCGGCGGACGGGUGAGUAACACGUGGGUAACCUACCUAUAAGACUGGGAUAACUUCGGGAAACCGGAGCUAAUACCGGAUAACAUUUGGAACCGCAUGGUUCUAAAGUGAAAGAUGGUUUUGCUAUCACUUAUAGAUGGACCCGCGCCGUAUUAGCUAGUUGGUAAGGUAACGGCUUACCAAGGCGACGAUACGUAGCCGACCUGAGAGGGGGAUCGGCCCACUGGGACGUGAGACACGGCCCAACCCCCUAGGGGGGGCACAGGUGGGGAAUUUUCCCAAAGGGGCGAAAGCCUGACGGAGCAACGCGGGGGGGGGGAUAAAGGGUUUCGGCUCGUAAAACUCUUUUAUUGGGGAAAAAAAAACGUGUAAGUAACUGUGCAGGUCUUGAAGGUACCUAAUAAGAAAGCCACGGCUAACUACGU
RNAcentral lists this ribosomal RNA (496 nucleotides) under uncultured bacterium. RNAcentral's name for it is "partial 16S ribosomal RNA". It matches the Rfam family "Bacterial small subunit ribosomal RNA", at positions 28 to 506 of the family's 1533-position model. The record is from RNAcentral.